This 76-nucleotide transfer RNA is filed under the name Marmota monax (woodchuck). RNAcentral describes it as "tRNA.Pro". The record is from RNAcentral. Lineage: Eukaryota; Metazoa; Chordata; Mammalia; Rodentia; Sciuridae.
UGAGGUGUAUAGCUCAGUGGUAGAGCACUUAGCUAGGAUGUAUACAAGGCCCUGGGAUCAAUCCCCAGCACCACAA